This 999-nucleotide long non-coding RNA is filed under the name Androctonus crassicauda. Lineage: Eukaryota; Metazoa; Arthropoda; Arachnida; Scorpiones; Buthidae. The record is from RNAcentral.
AUUUCAUUGUAUACUUGUGUUUUUUUGCCCUUUCCAGGAAUCAACAAUAAAUAAAAACGGAUUAGUUCCAACAUAGAGCUUGAUAACAUUUUUCGAAUAUUCUUGGUAUAGAGAUGUCGUUAAUUUUCUUGAUUUUGAACACACGACUUCAACAUUUCUACACAAUUUGAGCAGUUCAUCAACAUCCUUCUGAACAUAUAAUUCAAAACAAUCUGAAUUCUUGCAAACAAACAAAAAAACUUUGACAAAAUCUGGUAAGUUAUUAAAUAAAGAAUAUUGUGCAGUGUAAGAGUGAGAAAUCUUACUCGAACUUUACAUCGGAGAUUUGAAUAACUUCUGUAUGCGUAUAAGUUCGCGAAACAGUCUAUAUUCGCAACCUGUUUGAUCUGUAUUAAUUAUAAAAUCAGGAUUGUAGUCUGGCGAAAUUGCUUGAAUCAAUCGUUGAAAAUGUGUUGCUGAUUCUAUAAUAGCUUCUGGUGGUGUCAUCUCUUUUUUUCAAAAGGUACCGGAUGACUUUGCGAUUCGAAUUUUAUGCUCACAUAAAAACAAAGUUAACCAUGAGCUCGAUGCUACAGAAUGGAAAACAUUUUUGUGUUCUUUGCUGUCUUCUUGAUUGUCAUUAUAUUGAGCAGCUGCAACCAUGGCCCAUUGCUGAAGUAUGUCAUGUUACAAGCUGUUUAUUUGCUCUUGCUUCUACAAAACGAUCCUGCACAUUUUAUUGACUGCAGUUUGUCCCUGUAAUUUCCACCUGACAGAACAUCUCUUUUGUAUCGUGUAAUAUCACAAUCAUAAUAGUAAAAAAUUUUUAUAUCGUUGUUGUAGUGUACGAAAGGUCCAAAAUGGAUGUUGAAUUGCUGCCAUGACGAUCUUCAGUUUUUAAUAUCAAAUGGUACAGAUUCGUAUGCAGUAGCUUUCUGUGGUGGAUUGUAUUCUUCAUCGAGUAUAGUGUGACUUGUAUGAUGCAUGCUUUCACAUGCAUUAUCAUCUUUUCCUUCUGCU